UACAGAGGGUGCGAGCGUUGUCCGGAAUCACUGGGCGUAAAGGGCGCGUAGGCGGCUGGGUAAGUCGGAGGUGAAAUCCCGUGGCUCAACUGCGGGGCUGCCUUCGAGACUGCCUGGCUUGAGCGCGGUAGAGGCUGGUGGAAUUCCCGGUGUAGCGGUGGAAUGCGUAGAGAUCGGGAGGAACAUCGGUGGCGAAGGCGGCCAGCUGGGCCGUUGCUGACGCUGAGGCGCGAAAGCGUGGGGAGCAAACAGG
RNAcentral lists this ribosomal RNA (253 nucleotides) under uncultured bacterium. RNAcentral's name for it is "partial 16S ribosomal RNA". It matches the Rfam family "Bacterial small subunit ribosomal RNA", at positions 524 to 776 of the family's 1533-position model. The record is from RNAcentral.